CACGCUGUAAACGAUGAUAACUAUAUGUUGGCGAUAAAAUGUCAGUGUAGGAGAGAAAUUGAUAAGUUAUCCACCUGGGGAGUACGACCGCAAGGUUGAAACUCAAAGGAAUUGACGGGGGCCCGCACAAGCGGAGGAGCAUGUGGUUUAAUUCGAUGAUACGCGAGGAACCUUACCUAGACUUGAACGUAAGAGUAAUAUAUAAGAGAUUAUGUAGCUAGAAAUAGAUUCUUACGAGGUGC
This 242-nucleotide ribosomal RNA is filed under the name uncultured bacterium. RNAcentral describes it as "partial 16S ribosomal RNA". It matches the Rfam family "Bacterial small subunit ribosomal RNA", at positions 796 to 1041 of the family's 1533-position model. The record is from RNAcentral.